Molecule: long non-coding RNA, 639 nt
Organism: Leopardus geoffroyi (Geoffroy's cat)
Lineage: Eukaryota; Metazoa; Chordata; Mammalia; Carnivora; Felidae
Exons: 3
Source: RefSeq, a predicted model, not a curated record
CGGCUCUGUUACGCCACGACUGAAAUUGAGGAUGUUGUUGGAGCGAAGGUGAGGUUGGUCACGUGACGUGGAGAGCUUUAUGACUCGAGUCCGACUCGAAGGUCGCCUCAAUCCCACAGAGUCCCUCUUCUUCCUUUCUCCUUGGGGCGCCGACUUCUCUAGAGACACUCUGGGCGAGUUUCCUUGGCCCCGCCCACAAACCCAACUCUGAGUCUGAUUGGACGGCAACAAAGGGAGGCCCCGCCUAUUGUUCCAGGCUCUCGCAGACCGACCCCUCUCUGACUAGAACUUUCAUCUCAUCCUCCCAGAUGAGGCCUUUGUGUGGUCGCGUUGGGGUGGAGGGGGCUGGGGUCAGAGUAAUGAGUCUGGGUGGAGGAGAAGGAUGGGAGCUUAACUCCUGGGAACUGGCGUGGAAGAUGGCUGGGGACCGGCUCUUGGGUCUGAUGGAGGAGGGGUGUGGACCCCUGGUCCCGCGGUUCUUACUCUGCUUCGGGUCCCACCAGCACCUCGGCGCCCUGUCUUCGUUGACCCGGGACAGGAGGCGAGCCCCAGACCUCCCCUCUCGGAAAGCCAACAGGAGGAUCAGACCCGAGGAAAUGAAUCCGGUGUUGAGGCUACCAGAUAAAUCUUUAUUUGUGA